UACGUAGGGGGCGAGCGUUUUCCGGAAUGAUUGGGCGUAAAGGGCGUGUAGGCGGCAGGUUAAGUCUGAUGUGAAAGUCCACGGCUCAACCGUGGGAGGUCAUUGGAAACUGGCCUGCUUGAGUGCAGGAGAGGUGCGUGGAAUUCCUGGUGUAGCGGUGAAAUGCGUAGAUAUCAGGAGGAACACCGAUGGCGAAGGCAGCGCACUGGCCUGUAACUGACGCUGAGGCGCGAAAGCGUGGGGAGCAAACAGG
This 253-nucleotide ribosomal RNA is filed under the name uncultured bacterium. Its description in RNAcentral is "partial 16S ribosomal RNA". It matches the Rfam family "Bacterial small subunit ribosomal RNA", at positions 524 to 776 of the family's 1533-position model. The record is from RNAcentral.